AACAUCGCGCACCUGCGGGAACCUGCGGAAGGAUCAUUACAGAGUUGCAAAACUCCCUAAACCAUUGUGAACGUUACCUAAACCGUUGCUUCGGCGGGCGGCCCGGGUCCUUCCCGGCGCCCAUCGGCCCUCGCGGGCGCCCGCCGGAGGUAAACCAAACUAUUGCAUUGUAUGGCCUCUCUGAGUCUUCUGUACUGAAUAAGUCAAAACUUUCAACAAUGGAACUCAGAUCGGAAGAGC
RNAcentral lists this unclassified non-coding RNA (240 nucleotides) under soil metagenome. RNAcentral describes it as "partial contains 5.8S ribosomal RNA, internal transcribed spacer 2, and large subunit ribosomal RNA". The record is from RNAcentral.